RNAcentral lists this ribosomal RNA (774 nucleotides) under uncultured Neocallimastigales. RNAcentral's name for it is "partial large subunit ribosomal RNA". It matches the Rfam family "Eukaryotic large subunit ribosomal RNA", at positions 24 to 616 of the family's 3401-position model. The record is from RNAcentral. Lineage: Eukaryota; Fungi; Neocallimastigomycota; Neocallimastigomycetes; Neocallimastigales.
GUAGUCUCGCACAGAUGCAUAUCAAUAAGCGGAGGAAAAGAAACUAACAAGGAUUCCCUUAGUAACGGCGAGUGAAGCGGGAAGAGCUCAAAUUUGAAAUCUUCAAGGUUUUACCUUGACGAAUUGUAGUUUGAAGAAGUGUUUUCUGUUGAAGUUUUGGUAAAAGUUCUUUGGAAUAGGACAUCAUAGAGGGUGAGAAUCCCGUAUUUGACCAUUAUUUUCAGCUGUGUGAUACACUUUCAAAGAGUCGGAUUGUUUGGGAAUGCAGUCCAAAAUGGGUGGUAAAUUUCAUCUAAAGCUAAAUAUUGGCGAGAGACCGAUAGCGAACAAGUACCGUGAGGGAAAGAUGAAAAGAACUUUGAAAAGAGAGUUAAACAGUACGUGAAAUUGUCAAAAGGGAAGCGUUUGACACCAGUGUUGUUUUCUCGAAAAUCAAUUAAAAAGAGUUUGAUUUUGUUGUGUAUUGACCUUAACAGCUUGCAUUUCAAUUUUCUUGCUUUUUUUAAUGCACUUUUCGUUUAACAAGUCAACAUCAGUUUCUUUUGUUGUAAAAAGGUCAUUGGAAGGUGGCUUUCUUUUCGGAGAAAGUGUUUAUAGCCUUUGACUCCUGCAAUCGGAGAGACUGAGGUCUGCAGCGUAGAUCCUUCGGGGUUAGAUACAUUUGUGCUAAGUUAUAGCUUUUUAUAGACAACUUGUUGACUAUGAUUAGUCUUGUAGCUUACUCGCUUAUGCUAUUUUACCUACGCUUAGGAUGUUGAGCGCAUGUCUCUCUCU